AUUCCAGCUCCAAUAGCGUAUAUUAAAGUUGUUGCAGUUAAAAAGCUCGUAGUUGGAUUUCUGUCUCUUUUGGGAUGCGGUCCGCCCUUCAUGGGUGAGCACUGUUAUCCUGGGGACAUCCUCUCAAAGGCGUUAUGGUGCACUUAGUUGUGUGCUUAAUGAAUUUGGGAUCUUUACUUUGAAAAAAUUAGAGUGUUCAAAGCAGGCUUAUUGCUUGAAUAUAUUAGCAUGGAAUAAUGGAAUAGGACUUUGGUUCUAUUUUGUUGGUUUCUAGGACUGAAGUAAUGAUUAAUAGGGACAGUUGGGGGCAUUAGUAUUUAAUUGUCAGAGGUGAAAUUCUUGGAUUUAUGAAAGACUAACUACUGCGAAAGCAUUUGCCAAGGAUGUUUUCAUCA
RNAcentral lists this ribosomal RNA (395 nucleotides) under Choanoflagellata sp. Its description in RNAcentral is "partial small subunit ribosomal RNA". It matches the Rfam family "Eukaryotic small subunit ribosomal RNA", at positions 582 to 975 of the family's 1831-position model. Lineage: Eukaryota; Choanoflagellata. The record is from RNAcentral.